AAGUUAGACUCUGACUGUAAUAGGAAUGAAACACAGAAAUAUAGUAAUAUAUACAGGAUAAACUCUGAUUGGGUGAUUAUACAUAAACCUAUUCCUGGCGCACGUCUGCGCAAAAGGAAUAAAAGGAAGAGAAGUGGGGGGGGGAGGAGGGGGGUGGAGAGGAAGGUACAAAUGCCAAUUGCAAAAAGUGGAGAAAAUAAAUAAAUAAGGUAGCGUGUUAGAAUGCUCCUGCAUACAGAAUCCUAGUAAGUGUAGCUAGAUAUACGUGAUCGCACCUCUGUGAGGCUGUGAACACACAGGCUGCUGCAUACAAAAUGUAUUACAGUAUAUCGGCAGAUAAGAGUUCACCACGGUAUCUGCCGAUAUGGUAGAGGUAUAUAUAUUAAAGUAAUGGAGAUGCCAGCCUAAAACUGUCAGUUAGUGUAGCUGGAUAUACGUAAAUCGCGCAUCUAUGAGGUUGUAACACACAGAAUGUAUCUAUAUCUGGCGGCAAGUAUGGUUACUCAAAAAUGCCACCCAAAUGCUAAAAGAAAUUCGCCUAUAUAGAUGCUAAGGAUGCAGCCCUAAAUUAAGAGCAAAAGGGUUGCCAGAUAGCACAACACUGUAUGUAUGAUACAAAAUUAGCAAAUAGUGUCUAACACUAACUAGAAAUGAUAGCGCUACGGCUGACACUCCACCCCCGUGCCUUCGAGGGCACCUAACGCUGACCCCCCUAAUAUCAAACUAUACCCAAAUCAGAGGACACACAAAAU
Pelobates cultripes (western spadefoot toad) is the source of this 752-nucleotide non-coding RNA. The record is from the annotation of a GenBank genome assembly. Lineage: Eukaryota; Metazoa; Chordata; Amphibia; Anura; Pelobatidae.